UUGCUUUAGGGAUGAACUUAGUCCCUCACAUUGAUUUUUGUCCAUCUGAUUCACUUUGUCAGCAAGUCGUGUUCUUUUAGUCAGCUGCUGAUCAUUUUAGGAUGGAAAAUCU
Syzygium oleosum is the source of this 112-nucleotide small nucleolar RNA. RefSeq annotates it as small nucleolar RNA snoR99. NCBI's taxonomy places the organism in Eukaryota, Viridiplantae, Streptophyta, Magnoliopsida, Myrtales, Myrtaceae. The record is from RefSeq and is a predicted model, not a curated record. The transcript has a single exon.